AGAAGUACUAUAAGUUGCUUUGUAUUUGGUUAAUGGAAAAUUUUCCCAUUUGCACAAGUUUGCUCACCUUAUCAAAGGGAUCAAUAUGAUGAUUGGUAAGCCAAAUUUGGAUCUUAAACUGUGUUUGGAUACUGUGAGAAGGUACUAACUUACAUUUAAACUUUCUAUUAUUUCAAAGUGCAUCUGCAUACUUGGAGGCAUAUCAGCAAAGUAUUACCUUGAGAAUACUUUUAUUUUUCCCAAACUCUUAGGGAUUUCAAAUUCAAGAGAUGCAGCAUUUUGUCCUUUUCAUUCCUUAUCCAGUCACUCCAUUGUAUCGGUGUUCCAUGAA
RNAcentral lists this long non-coding RNA (331 nucleotides) under Phaseolus vulgaris (common bean). RNAcentral describes it as "long non-coding RNA (PVUL_LNC000392)". The record is from RNAcentral. Lineage: Eukaryota; Viridiplantae; Streptophyta; Magnoliopsida; Fabales; Fabaceae.